GCCUGGGGAGAAAAGGUAAAGGAAUAUCAGGCCACUAUCCAUAAUCUACGAGAAGAGUCGAGAAAUAUUACAUUCAACAAUGAUUUAUAGGCGCAUGAGGUCGAGUGUGAAAGGAGAAGAUUGGUUCGAGAAAAUGAAGCUCUCAGGGCCCUUAUUCGACAAUUGAAAAUUGCAGCCGAAAACCCAGGCCGAAGGAAGAAAGAUGAAAGGAUCAUUUAUAACCUUACUCAAAAGGUGCGUGACUAUGAAGAUGACCAAAAACCCAGGCCGAAGAAGGAAAGAUGAAAGGAUCAUUUAUAACCUUACUCAAAAGGUACGUGACUAUGAAGAUGACCUACAGAAAGCUGAGUCUAACCUAGCAAAAGCACAAACAAGGUUGGAUAAAAGAGCCGAAGGGCGUGCAACCUUCGUUAAACAAAUGAAAGAAACAUAUGAAAGAGGGGUCACAUGUUUGGAAACGGCAAUUGGCAACCUCGAAGGCGAAAUGGCUAAACAAGCCAAAAAUUAUAAGGCUGAGAGGUAACAUUGUGAUGCCUUAAUGGCACAGUUGGAAGAGGACUUACAACACUUGCAAGAGAAAAAUCACACUACCGCCCAGGUGUUAGAAGCAAGAUCCCGUCAAAUUGGUCGUCUGUUGCAGGAAAAGGGCAUCAUACAAGAGAGAGUCCGAAGGAUUGCUGACUACAUUACCACAAAGUGCAGUACGUGAAAAGACAUGAAAAGAUCCAUGUUUUUUGCCACUGUGAUGAUCUUCGUACAUCAAAUAAUGGAAGAACUCUAUCGGCUGCAAGAUGACCUGGCACGUAGGCCCGCAGCAAGACCACCUGGUGUCCCUAGGGCAGGGUUAGAGGCAUUGAUGUUUUCUUUAUUGUAUUGUCUUCCUUUACGAGUCUAUAUAUUCGCAUUUUGAGUCUAUUUUCAAUUCCUAGAAAAAUGCUUGUCCUGCGCCUUAGAGUCUUAGAAGAAGUAUGUCUUGAGUCCUUUUGUAAUUCAAUAUUAAUUUGAAGAAAAUGCCACAAAAAAUGGCUCUUUUAUUUAUCGCAUUUACCUCUUGAACUAUGUUAUAAUCUGAUUCACGCGGUGUCGUGAUACGUUGGCAAUCCUUAUCGGAUGUGGUCAUGCUUUUGUAUUUUUUUUAUUGUAUUAGGGAAAGAAAAAGAAAAAACCAAAAGGAUAAAAGAGAAAUAAGGAAUAACAUAUAAGUCAAGGAGAGAAAUAGGGGAAAGUAAAAAAGCCGGGAUGAAACAUUCAACCGUUAUGAGGCAUGUAGAAACACGUUUAACUAUAUAGGUGCAUCACACCCCAACGUGUGAUUACGUAUAUGUUUAAUAAAAUAAAUAAAGCGUUAUUAGAUCUUCGUACAUCAAAUAAUGGAAGAACUCUAUCGGCUGCAAGAUGACCUGGCACGUAGGCCCGCAGCAAGACCACCUGGUGUCCCUAGGGCAGGGUUAGAGGCAUUGAUGUUUUCUUUAUUGUAUUGUCUUCCUUUACGAGUCUAUAUAUUCGCAUUUUGAGUCUAUUUUCAAUUCCUAGAAAAAGGCUUGUCCUGCGCCUUAGAGUCUUAGAAGAAGUAUGUCAUGAGUCCUUUUGUAAUUCAAUAUUAAUUUGAAG
Molecule: long non-coding RNA, 1611 nt
Filed under: Nicotiana benthamiana
Lineage: Eukaryota; Viridiplantae; Streptophyta; Magnoliopsida; Solanales; Solanaceae
Description: long non-coding RNA (NBEN_LNC008946)
Source: RNAcentral